Molecule: ribosomal RNA, 270 nt
Filed under: uncultured bacterium
Lineage: Bacteria
Description: partial 16S ribosomal RNA
Rfam family: Bacterial small subunit ribosomal RNA
Source: RNAcentral
UACGAGGGGGGCGAGCGUUGUUCGGAAUUAUUGGGCGUAAAGGGUGCGUAGGCGGCCUGACAAGUCUGAUGUGAAAUCCCUGGGCUCAACCCAGGGCCUGCAUCGGAAACUGUCGGGCUUGAGUAUGGGAGAGGUGAGUGGAAUUUCCGGUGUAGCGGUGAAAUGCGUAGAUAUCGGAAGGAACACCUGUGGCGAAAGCGGCUCACUGGACCAUUACUGACGGUCGAGGCAGCGAAAAGCUAGGGGAGCAAACAGGAUUAGAAAACCCUA